UAUCUCUUAUUCUGCUUGCUGACAGCCUAAUAACGUGUCUAUUACAAAUCUGUCCACCUCUCUCUGUCCAUCACCAUUGGAACGAUCUCAGUCACCUCCAUCGCUCACCCAGAACUAUGGCAGCUAUCUCCAACUGGUUUCUGCACUGUCACCCUCGACACUUGCAAUCAUUCUCACAUCCUGACCAGAGUGUCACUGAGCGGCGGAGCAUAGCUACCAAUGACAAUUUUCCAUGGCUGCCCAUUUUGCUAGGAAUAAAAUGUAAAAAACAUUGUCGACCUAUGAGGUUCGAGCCUUUUUUCCCUUUUGCUCUGCAACCCUCACCCCAGAUCCCCUGUCUACCUUCCUCAUCCUUGUCACAUGGUCCUCUCUCAGUUCCUCAUAUACACCAACGGCUCUUUCCUGCCUCAGAGGCUUUGCACAACCUCCUCCCCCUUCCCUUUUCUCCUCUUCUAGCUAACACUUAGGAACUGGGCUCUGGCUUAAACACACACACAUCAGAUGUUGAGAAGGAGGCCAGCCAUCCCCUCUUUUCCUUCAUUUUCUUAUCAUCUCCUUUGUAGUCAUCAUUACAAUCCUACUUGCAGAUUCAUGUGUAUGUGUUUAGGACUGAGUGUAUCUAAUAUGCAACACACAUAUGCAGGUGUUCAUGGAGACCGGAAGAAGGUGUCAGAGCCUCUGGAACUGGAAGUACAGACAGAACUGGCGGUAUAGACAGUCGUGAACUGCCAUGUGGAACCUGACCAAGGACCAGCGUUCCAUCCUGGCACUACAUCAGGUGGCUCACAAGCACCCAUAUUGUUGACUUCAAAGGACCCAGCUCACACUUCUGGACUGGAGCAGAGCCCAGCUGAGAGAGCAAGCACAAGUAAUAUAUUGAAUCAAGGGCUUAGACCAUCCAGCAGAAGCAGCUGGGGAGUCUCGAUUGAAACCAUCAUAGUAGAGUUCCCAACCCAGAGUUCUGGGCAGAGACUUUUUUCCUCUAUGAAGGAACUUCCGGCUUCUCUUUCCUAACGCGGGCAUCUUUCUGCCUCGGGAUAAACGGCGGUAACCUCUGUUAGAAAUGGGUUACCAGCUGCUGUCAAGGAGGCCGUGCCUUUUAUCAUCCUUGGUUGUUUUUCUUACCCCUUCCUCACUGUUAUAGGGUUAGAGGCCCAGCCCACUCCAGGACAGGCAGUCUUGGAAGACACUUGAAAUAAACAAACCGGAGUCUGGGAGACAACUGUCUUCCUCCCUCCCAAAGUCUCUCCGCAUAAAAAGGAAACCGUGAGUGACAAUUUACUAGUAAAAUUUAUAUUACAGUUUUUAGGACUCAGGCUGUCUGUAUGCCUAGAAGUGUGAGCUCAAAAUGGACUAUAGAAUUCUGGAUGUUACACAAAGCCAGCAUUCCUCAGGGAAUCAGCUCUCAUCUGCCCAAAGGAAUCCUUUCUCUUAGCUCUGGCUGAAGAGACAUUUGACUGCCUGCUCACACUGGCCAUGAGACACCUCCUGUAACACAAGUAUGGGUUACAUAUUUCAAAGUCCACACCAGCAUUCUGGCCCUUCCCUCCCCACAGCUACUCAGCCUCCUUAUAAUCCACAGGAUUUGUCCAGCUCUUUUUCCUGUCUGUCUGUCUGUCUGUCUGUCUGCUCAAUUAUCUAUGUUCUGCUGUCACACUAUCUCCAUUAUUCUCGCCCAGUCUCCCACUUCCUUAGCCCUGGCCAUGUCUAGUUCGUUUUUCUCUCUACUCUGGAACCAUGCCUUCUCACCUAGGACAUUCAUGUAUCAAAUUUCUGUAGAGGACAGACAAGGUAAUUCAGUCAGUAAAGUGCUUGUUUCUCACAUACAAAGGCUAGAGUUCAAUUCCCAGAAGCCACAGGAAAAGACAGGUGUGGUGGUAUUGCCUUUGUAAUCCUGGCCCUGGGGAGACAGAGACAGGAGGUCCCUUGGAAUAGCCUAGCCUGGUAACCUAACCUAAUUGGUAAGUUCCUCACUGAUUGGCUAUGUCUCGAAGGUAGAUGGCACUUGAGGAAUGGCACUCCAGGCUGUCCUUUGGUCUCUACACUCACAUUUGGAUGUACACAGGUACACACAUACACAAUGCAUAUGCUGCGAUUUAGUUCAGUUGAUGGGGUGCUUGCUUAGCAUGUAUGAAGCCUGAGGAUUCUCAGCACCACAUACACAGCAUGGUGUACACCUUAAUCCCAGAAUUCAGGAGCCCAGGGCCUUAUUCAUGCAAAGUAAGGCAAAUGAGCCAUACUGCUAGCUUGAAUUUUCUUUUUUAUUCAUCUCUCUCUCUCUCUCUCUCUCUCUCUCUCUCUCUCUCUCUCUCUGUUAUUUACAUCUGACUACAGGUACUCUUUUAUUAUGUGUCCUGCUUUUAUGUGGGUCCUGGGGAUUCAAACUCAGACCCUCAUGCUUGUAUGACAAGCACUUUCCCUGUUGAGCCAUCUCUUGAUGAUGAUGAUGAUCUUUUUUUAUUAUUAUUGUUGUUGUUGUUGUUAUAUUUUUAUUCUUAAUGGAUGAGUGCUUUGCCUUCAUGCAUGUGUUAUUUUUGAAUCAGGGUCCUGGCUGACCUGAAACUUGAUAUGUAGACCAAGCUGGCCUUGAACUCACACAGAUCUGCCUGCCUCUGCCUUCCAAGUGCUGGCACUAGACGUGUGUGCCACCAUUCUGCACGAGGCACGUAGGUCCUUGUACUCACAGAAAGCACUAGGGAAACACUGGGUUGUACCUUCAAAGGGAGAUAUAUCAUGUCCUCUGCCCUAGAAGACUGGGAAUGGACGUGGGUAAAAGCCUAGUGACUCUUUCACCACCAACUCCAUGUAUAGCACUAUACGCCCCAAACCUUUGCCAUGAGCUUCUUUAUGUGGAAUCUGUUUCCUGUUAGCCUAUAGAUCCUGUCUUUUAUGGAAGAUGUUGCUCACACUUUGCAAUAGCUUAGAUGCAGUCCUGUCGUAAGCUUUGCUCUACAAAUGACACUGAGUUAUUUAUUAACAGGAAAAUUGUUGGGGUUUUUUUUGUUGUUGUUGUUAUUGUUGUUUGCACUGUGCUUAAAUAUACCUAAAAUAAAACUUCUCAGGGUCAGACUCUCAAAGUUUAAAUCAACACUGGCUACUGAUUUCUGUUGAAUUUCCUUCCUAUCUCAAAUGUAUGACACUCCGCUGGCCUUGGUGGUCACAGAGACCAACUCCCACUACCCCCCAACCCCUAUCCUUUCCUAUCCCCACCCCUACACAUCCCCAGUCUGUAUCCUUGUACACGUCAUGCACGCCUGAAGCUCGUAAAGGCCAAGAGAACUCAAGGUCCCCUGAAGAUAAAGUGACACGUAGAUCCUGGGAAUGGAAGCUGGGUCCUCUGCAAGAACAAGUGGUCUCUAGCACUGAGCCACCUCUCCAAUCUCAAUUAUUUUUUUACUCUUAAAAAAGGUUAUUGGAACUGGGUGCUGGUGGUGCAGGCCUUUGAUGCCAGCACUAGGGAAGCAAAGGCAGAUGGAUCUCUGUGUGUUUGAGGCCAGCCUGGUCUACGGAUUGAAUUCCAGAACCAGAGCUGCACAGAGAAACCCUGUCUCCAAAAAGAAAGGAAGGAAGGAAGGAAGGAAGGAAGGAAGGAAAAGAAAAGAAAGAUUAUUGGGAAAUCAAGGGAAUAAUAUGUAAUAAAGUCCAUUCAAAUAAGUGAGGAACAGCCAAGUAUGUAUAGUAAAAUAUUGUCGUGUGAAAAAUUUGGAAUGUGACCAGCUAGCCUGAACCAAACACAAGUUUAAUCCCUAGCACCAAGAAAAGAGAUUGUGGUAAUACACACCCGAGGGUAGGGAAUUCGUGACUGCAUAUGGAGCUUAGGGGAUGAAAGAGACAGGAUGUGUAUUAGUUACACUAGCCUGAAUGUUUAAAGCAUUUUUAUUAUAGAAGGUCGAAGGGCCCCCAGUGCCAU
Rattus norvegicus (Norway rat) is the source of this 3910-nucleotide long non-coding RNA. RefSeq lists it as uncharacterized. The record is from RefSeq and is a predicted model, not a curated record. Lineage: Eukaryota; Metazoa; Chordata; Mammalia; Rodentia; Muridae.